Molecule: unclassified non-coding RNA, 341 nt
Filed under: soil metagenome
Description: partial contains 5.8S ribosomal RNA, internal transcribed spacer 2, and large subunit ribosomal RNA
Rfam family: 5.8S ribosomal RNA (bases 1-120)
Source: RNAcentral
GAUGAAGAACGUAGCGAAAUGCGAUAAGUAGUGUGAAUUGCAGAAUUCAGUGAAUCAUCGAAUCUUUGAACGCACAUUGCGCCCUUUGGUAUUCCAAAGGGCAUGCCUGUUCGAGCGUCAUUUGUACCCUCAAGCUUUGCUUGGUGUUGGGCGUCUUGUCUCUAGCUUUGCUGUAGACUCGCCUUAAAGUAAUUGGCAGCCGGCCUACUGGUUUCGGAGCGCAGCACAAGUCGCACUCUCUAUCAGCAAAGGUCUAGCAUCCAUUAAGCCUUUUUUUCAACUUUUGACCUCGGAUCAGGUAGGGAUACCCGCUGAACUUAAGCAUAUCAAUAAGCGGAGGA